AUUGAACGCUGGCGGCAGGCCUAACACAUGCAAGUCGAGCGGAUGAAGGGAGCUUGCUCCUGGAUUCCGCGUCGGACGGGUGAGUAAUGCCUAGGAAUCUGCCUCGUAUUGGUGUAUAACGUCCUGAAACGGGCGCUACUACUGCCUACUUCCUGCUGCAGCUAGUUGGUGAUCUUCGGACCUCACGCUCUCAUGUGGACCUAGGUCGGUGUAGAUAGUUGGUGGGUUAAGUGCCUACCAAGGCGACGAUCGGUAACUGGACUGAGUGGAUGAUAAGUCACACGGGAACGGAGACACGGACCAGACGACUAAGGGAGGGAGCAGUGGGGAAUAUUAGACAAUAGGCGAAAGCAUGAUACAGCCAUGCCGCGUGUGUGAAGAAAGUCUUCGGAUUGGAAAGAACGUUAAGUUGGGAGGAAGGGCAGUAAGUUAAUACCUUGCUGGUUUGACGUUACCAACAGAAUAAGCACCGGCUAACUUCGUG
Molecule: ribosomal RNA, 484 nt
Filed under: uncultured bacterium
Lineage: Bacteria
Description: partial 16S ribosomal RNA
Rfam family: Bacterial small subunit ribosomal RNA
Source: RNAcentral